Molecule: ribosomal RNA, 615 nt
Filed under: uncultured Gammaproteobacteria bacterium
Lineage: Bacteria; Pseudomonadati; Pseudomonadota; Gammaproteobacteria
Description: SSU rRNA
Rfam family: Bacterial small subunit ribosomal RNA
Source: RNAcentral
CAGCUAGUUGGUGAGGUAAUGGCUCACCAAGGCGACAAUCCGUAGCUGGUCUGAGAGGACGACCAGCCACACCGGAACUGAGACACGGUCCGGACUCCUACGGGAGGCAGCAGUGGGGAAUAUUGGACAAUGGGGGAAACCCUGAUCCAGCGACGCCGCGUGUGUGAAGAAGGCCUGCGGGUUGUAAAGCACUUUUAGUGGGGACAAAAAGUCACGGGCUAAUAACUUGUGAUCUUGAUUUAACUCACAGAAAAAGCACCGGCUAACUCUGUGCCAGCAGCCGCGGUAAUACAGAGGGUGCGAGCGUUAAUCGGAAUUACUGGGCGUAAAGCGCACGUAGACGGUUUGGUAAGUCAGAUGUGAAAUCCCCGGGCUCAACCUGGGAACUGCAUUUGAUACUGCCUGGCUAGAGUAUCGAAGAGGGAAGUGGAAUUUCCGGUGUAGCGGUGAAAUGCGUAGAUAUCGGAAGGAACACCAGUGGCGAAAGCGACUUCCUGGUCGAAUACUGACGUUCAUGUGCGAAAGCGUGGGGAGCAAACAGGAUUAGAUACCCUGGUAGUCCACGCCAUAAACGAUGACAACUAGAUGUUGGGAGGGUCUGCCUCUCGGUGUCGC